This 253-nucleotide ribosomal RNA is filed under the name uncultured bacterium. Its description in RNAcentral is "partial 16S ribosomal RNA". It matches the Rfam family "Bacterial small subunit ribosomal RNA", at positions 524 to 776 of the family's 1533-position model. The record is from RNAcentral.
UACAGAGGUGGCAAGCGUUGUUCGGAAUUACUGGGCGUAAAGGGCGCGUAGGCGGCCUUCUAAGUCAGACGUGAAAUCCCCCGGCUUAACCUGGGAACUGCGUCUGAUACUGGGAGGCUAGAGUAUGGGAGAGGGAUGUAGAAUUCCAGGUGUAGCGGUGAAAUGCGUAGAUAUCUGGAGGAAUACCGGUGGCGAAGGCGGCAUCCUGGACCGACAUUGACGCUGAACGGCGAAAGCUAGGGGAGCAAACGGG